This is a non-coding RNA of Linepithema humile (Argentine ant), 562 nucleotides long. Lineage: Eukaryota; Metazoa; Arthropoda; Insecta; Hymenoptera; Formicidae. The record is from RefSeq and is a predicted model, not a curated record.
CGUUUUCUAUGAGUGCGUUCGAAAAUAAGUUUGGUUGGUGUUGGGAAAAAAGAUAAAGUUGGCAGUAUUGAAAAUUACCAGUGCUGCGUUUCGUUUCUUCCACUGGGAUCAUUGGAAUUAUACGUUAUACCAGGGAUCACUGAGGUUUGUUGAGGUUAUUAAGGACAUAAAAAAAAUUUGCUAUUUGAGGUAUUAUGAAAGAGAUCACUUCUCUUGUUACUUAUUAUACGUCUCUUAAACAUAUAUUUAAAAAAUGAAGAAAUCUGUGCAAUUAGUUAAGAAACACAACACUCGUCAAUUGAAGUUGCUUGAUGAAAUAACCAAUAUAGAAUAUAUAAUAGAAGUUAAUGAAGAAGAUUUCAAUCGCGCUUAUAAAGGUAUUAUUUCAAUAUUAAACAGUUAACUAUCCAGAUAAGAAAGCAUGCAAAAAUAAUUAUAUAUUGUUAUUUUUAUAUAUAGAUAUUACAUUUGCUAAUGCUUUGCUACAAAAAGCAAAACAUACCCUUUUAAUUAACGAACGUAAUUCGAGCACAAUUGAUAAUCCCAGUUCUUCGAAAAAAAA